GUAGUCCUGUAAUAACCAAGCAUUGAAUUCUGCACAUUUGCAAGAUGGUUCAUUCCAUGGCAAUUCUGCAGAGAAAAUUCAAACAAUUUAUGUGAUGUAGAAAACAAAUGAUUACAAAGAAUGAAGAUAUUCCUAUACAACAACAAUUAAGGUCAAGAGAAUCUCACCACCUGAUGCAUAUUCAAGAAACAAGAAUUGUUGGUCACCAUCUGUUCUACUUCCAUAAAAACGUAUAAUAUGGACAUCUUGCAACAUGCGAUGAAUACAUAUCUUGAAGAAAACAACAGUAAAAUAAAAUUAAUCAAUCAAUAAAUAAAUCUAUGGACAAAGGCCAACUGGAGUCAAGAUCUAUAUAAUUAAAAGGAUAAAGACAUGCAUAUAUCUCAUUUUUGAAACAAAUUAGUAACAUAAGAAAAAUCUAGAGCAUACGACUCUGAUGAAAUAAAUUCGAAAAGGUGACAAAUCAGAAAUAUUCAUAGCAAAUAAAAUUUCCUGAUGAA
Molecule: long non-coding RNA, 500 nt
Organism: Xenia sp. Carnegie-2017
Lineage: Eukaryota; Metazoa; Cnidaria; Anthozoa; Malacalcyonacea; Xeniidae
Exons: 3
Source: RefSeq, a predicted model, not a curated record